RNAcentral lists this transfer RNA (68 nucleotides) under Diptera sp. 74 LC-2017. RNAcentral describes it as "tRNA-Arg". Lineage: Eukaryota; Metazoa; Arthropoda; Insecta; Diptera. The record is from RNAcentral.
AAAUAAGAAGCAAAAUUUGCGAUUAGUUUCGACCUAAUUAUUGAUAUUAAUAAAAAUAUCCUUAUUUU